UGAGAUGAGAAUAUCCCUCCCGCCUCUGAUC
This 31-nucleotide non-coding RNA is filed under the name Mus musculus (house mouse). Lineage: Eukaryota; Metazoa; Chordata; Mammalia; Rodentia; Muridae. The record is from RNAcentral.